This 332-nucleotide ribosomal RNA is filed under the name uncultured Byssovorax sp. RNAcentral's name for it is "bacterial SSU rRNA". It matches the Rfam family "Bacterial small subunit ribosomal RNA", at positions 568 to 898 of the family's 1533-position model. Lineage: Bacteria; Pseudomonadati; Myxococcota; Polyangiales; Polyangiaceae. The record is from RNAcentral.
CGUGUAGGCUGCUCGGAAAGUCGGAUGUGAAAGCCCUGGGCUCAACCUAGGAAGUGCAUUCGAAACUUCCGAGCUGGAGUGCUGGAGAGGAAGGCGGAAUUCUCGGUGUAGAGGUGAAAUUCGUAGAUAUCGAGAGGAACACCGGUGGCGAAGGCGGCCUUCUGGACAGUCACUGACGCUGAGACGCGAAAGCGUGGGGAGCAAACAGGAUUAGAUACCCUGGUAGUCCACGCCGUAAACGAUGGGUGCUAGGUGUCGCGGGCUUUGACCCCUGCGGUGCCGUAGCUAACGCAUUAAGCACCCCGCCUGGGGAGUACGGCCGCAAGGCUAAA